AUUACAAAGGUGUGGGAAAGGCUCUGCUUGGUUCACUGGAAAAAUAGAAUGUGAGAACAAUUCAUCAGCAUCAGGUAUAGUGCUGUAAUAGGAAUGCUGCACGUCAACUGACACACCUUAGAACGAUGGGGAGGGAGCAUCUUUUCGUAUGAGAUGGAGUAUUAAAUGGCCAGUAUCUCCAGACCUCCUCACUCAGACAACUAGGACACUCAGAGAGGACAACAGGGUUACAUUAUACUCAGUGGCCUAUUGACAUAAAGGAUUUUUCACUGUAUUGAUUUAUUUAAUGAUCAAUUUGAGUUUGUAGAAAUGUUUUUAUACAGACACACACACAUACACACACAAGAAUAUUUUGGUGCUUGUGGUGCUGGUGUCUUAAUUGGUAAUGUUGGUAUUGUAUACAUUGUGGUGUAUUGUAACCAUAUCUUUCUAAUUUCAGACAAACUGAUACACAUGGCCAUCUAUAUGCUGUCCAUAGGUCUUGCCCUGCUACUAAUGUGUUUUCCCAUCAAGGGUUUACCAAGCCAGCGCAACUCCAACAUUGAGUUCUACAGCGACCUAGAGCGGUCACACCUAUUGCUAAGAGAAAGAGGCUCUCUCACUGCGUUAGACUCCAGAAACAAUGGUCACACAGAGAAUGGCCUGCUUGAGGAGGAUUCUGAAUUCAUAUUGGUCACUCCAACAAGCAAGUUCAGCCCCAAAAGUGAAUUGCAUGACCUUGUCUCAAAGGAGGAAGGCCUAUCUACCAAGAAAAAGUCUUCAGACACCCUGUCACGAUUCCGGCGGGAAAAUGUAAAAUUUCUAUACAAGUAAACUAAGGCACAACAACAACUACAACAACAGCAGCGCCAACG
Long non-coding RNA from Alosa alosa (allis shad), 854 nucleotides. RefSeq lists it as uncharacterized. The transcript is spliced from 5 exons. The record is from RefSeq and is a predicted model, not a curated record. Lineage: Eukaryota; Metazoa; Chordata; Actinopteri; Clupeiformes; Clupeidae.